Molecule: ribosomal RNA, 445 nt
Filed under: uncultured bacterium
Lineage: Bacteria
Description: partial 16S ribosomal RNA
Rfam family: Bacterial small subunit ribosomal RNA
Source: RNAcentral
GUGAGGAAUAUUGGACAAUGGGCGCAAGCCUGAUCCAGCCAUGCCGCGUGCAGGAAGACGCAUCUAUGGUGUGUAAACUGCUUUUGUACGGGAAGAAACACUCCCUCGUGAGGGAGCUUGACGGUACCGUAAGAAUAAGGAUCGGCUAACUCCGUGCCAGCAGCCGCGGUAAUACGGAGGAUCCAAGCGUUAUCCGGAAUCAUUGGGUUUAAAGGGUCCGUAGGCGGUUUAAUAAGUCAGUGGUGAAAGCCCAUCGCUCAACGAUGGAACGGCCAUUGAUACUGUUAGACUUGAAUUACAAGGAAGUAACUAGAAUAUGUAGUGUAGCGGUGAAAUGCUUAGAUAUUACAUGGAAUACCAAUUGCGAAGGCAGGUUACUACUUGUGGAUUGACGCUGAUGGACGAAAGCGUGGGGAUCAAACAGGAUUAGAUACCCUUGUAGUCC